This 326-nucleotide ribosomal RNA is filed under the name Salmonella enterica subsp. enterica serovar Infantis. RNAcentral's name for it is "bacterial LSU rRNA". It matches the Rfam family "Bacterial large subunit ribosomal RNA", at positions 1099 to 1342 of the family's 2925-position model. The record is from RNAcentral. Lineage: Bacteria; Pseudomonadati; Pseudomonadota; Gammaproteobacteria; Enterobacterales; Enterobacteriaceae.
UGUUGGCUUAGAAGCAGCCAUCAUUUAAAGAAAGCGUAAUAGCUCACUGGUCGAGUCGGCCUGCGCGGAAGAUGUAACGGGGCUAAACCAUGCACCGAAGCUGCGGCAGCGAACGUAUCACUUAAAGCGAUUCAGCGGAUGACGAUUGACGGAGCGAAGCGACGUCAAAGCGUAUACAAAGUCGAGUCGGUUUAAGGAUACGUUCGUUGGGUAGGGGAGCGUUCUGUAAGCCUGUGAAGGUGUGUCGUGAGGCAUGCUGGAGGUAUCAGAAGUGCGAAUGCUGACAUAAGUAACGAUAAAGCGGGUGAAAAGCCCGCUCGCCGGAA